GUCUCCAUAGCUCAGAAGGAUAGAGCGCAGACCUCCUAAGUCUGGUCAUUGGCCGAGUUCGAGUCUCGGUGGGGACACCA
Molecule: transfer RNA, 80 nt
Filed under: Candidatus Onthocola stercorigallinarum
Lineage: Bacteria; Bacillati; Bacillota; Bacilli
Description: tRNA-Arg
Rfam family: tRNA
About the family: Transfer RNA (tRNA) molecules are approximately 80 nucleotides in length.
Source: RNAcentral